RNAcentral lists this long non-coding RNA (321 nucleotides) under Homo sapiens (human). RNAcentral describes it as "non-protein coding lnc-RNF38-4:3". Lineage: Eukaryota; Metazoa; Chordata; Mammalia; Primates; Hominidae. The record is from RNAcentral.
AUGGAAAUACACUGUAAGCACGACCCGUUUGCAUCCAUGCAUGACAUGGAGGAGUGAAUCAGCUUGGGGGGGUUUUUGUGAAUGGACGGCCACUCCCGGAUGUAGUCCGCCAGAGGAUAGUGGAACUUGCUCAUCAAGGUGUCAGGCCCUGCGACAUCUCCAGGCAGCUUCGGGUCAGCCAUGGUUGUGUCAGCAAAAUUCUUGGCAUGUCCACUGGCUCCGUGACGCAGGUGUCCUCGGUGAGCACGGAUUCGGCCGGCUCGUCGUACUCCAUCAGCGGCAUCCUGGGCAUCACGUCCCCCAGCGCCGACACCAACAAGC